AGGCCGUCCAGGGUGAGCAGG
Molecule: unclassified non-coding RNA, 21 nt
Filed under: Chlamydomonas reinhardtii
Lineage: Eukaryota; Viridiplantae; Chlorophyta; Chlorophyceae; Chlamydomonadales; Chlamydomonadaceae
Description: small RNA Cre_0556
Source: RNAcentral